This 327-nucleotide long non-coding RNA is filed under the name Elaeis guineensis (African oil palm). Its description in RNAcentral is "long non-coding RNA (EGUI_LNC040050)". The record is from RNAcentral. Lineage: Eukaryota; Viridiplantae; Streptophyta; Magnoliopsida; Arecales; Arecaceae.
UUUUGAUAAGGAUGAUAUUGGCCAACUAGUCAAGUUAGUUCACCUCACAGAUGAAGUCUGUUGCAAGGAGCUUGUCCACCUGCUUAUUGAUGGCUUAUUAUCACUCUGGGGUAAAGCUUUGCUUCUUUUACUGCACAAAUCGAUGCAGGGGGUUCACAUGUAGUUGCUAGAAUAUAAAAACCUCCAAACUAAUGCCUAGCAUAUCCAAGGCUAACCAAGCGAAGGCUUCGGAGUUGGUCUGAAGGAAGCUGAGAAGCUGGGCUUGAGAGGCUUUAUCCUGUCAAGCUCCAAUUUGUACCAUUCUACUCAGAUCUGACUCAUGCAGGG